RNA transcript from Amphibalanus amphitrite, 949 nucleotides. It is a transcript of the gene named stress-induced-phosphoprotein 1-like, with no coding region annotated. The record is from RefSeq and is a predicted model, not a curated record. The transcript has 4 exons. NCBI's taxonomy places the organism in Eukaryota, Metazoa, Arthropoda, Thecostraca, Balanomorpha, Balanidae.
UCCGACCUUGAUUUCAUAUUUUCACGUGAAUUUCAGCAUUUAUCCAUUUAUGAAGUGGAUUGCUUUGUAUUUUAAGUGUGGGUCAUGGAGCAUGAUCACAUGUGAUUACUUUUCCCCUAAAUAAGCUGUGCGUGGUUCUAACAAUUUUUUAUGUUAGAUUGAGAUUGGUUGCAGCUGACGGACACUGCAAGAAGGGACAGCUGUUGUUGCAGCUCAGCAGGCCAUGGGACGCUAAAGACGCGUUCAGAGCGGCCAUUGAGCUGGACAAAAACAGCAAGGAGGCGGCCGCCGGGUACCAGCGCUGUCUGACGGUCCUGGACCAGGACGUCCACCAGGCCCGGGUCAGGAUUAGCCAACAGCCAGGGGUACAGCGCUGUCUGCAGGAUCACAGGAUGAAGGAGGCGCUCAAACUGAUGCAGGAGGACCCCAUGCAGGCGCGCAGGCUGAUGAGGGACAGUGUGGUGGUGAGGGAAGGUCUUCAUCUGCUGGUUCAGAGUGGAGCCAUCAUGCUCCGGUAACCACCUACCGCGCUGCAGAACAGGAGAACCACGCCUGGUUCCUGACGCUGCAGAGCAGGAGAACCGUGCCUGGUUUCUGGCGCUGCAGAACGGGAGAACCAUGCCUGGUUUCUGGCGCUGCAGAACGGGAGAAUCACGCCUGGUUCCUGGCGCUGCAGAACAGUGGGAAGCUGGUCCAGCAUACCAGGGUCCUGCAAGUUUUGCAGCUUUGGCUCAAUUCAACAGCGAGAAGGAAUAACCAAUGGUUUCUGAGGGGUCCUCAAAGCGCACCACGAUAGGCGGCACGGGCGGACAUCGACAGCAGCGCCUCUAUCGGUCACUAGGGAAAGCUGGGCUGUUUUUGUUUUGUUUAUUUGUUUAUUUGUAAUUAUCACCAACAGAGAAAUUCUCCACUAACAGGUGAAGUCAGGAAAAUAAAAUGCAUCAACACA